This is a long non-coding RNA of Arachis stenosperma, 1350 nucleotides long. RefSeq lists it as uncharacterized. NCBI's taxonomy places the organism in Eukaryota, Viridiplantae, Streptophyta, Magnoliopsida, Fabales, Fabaceae. The transcript has 5 exons. The record is from RefSeq and is a predicted model, not a curated record.
AACAAGCCAAACGAUGCCGUUUGCUUACCCAAAAACGUUUGUUUCUUACCAAAAAUCACUUUCUUCUCGUGUAGUUGUGUGUCAUCUCUUCAUCUUCCUCAGCUCGCAGUUGCUUUAGCUUCGCAAGUGUUCCUCCCUGGCACCUCCGUGCAUGUGUUCAGUGAAGCAAUUUUUGCAUGAAGCAUCACCGUAUUCGCACAGUGCAGAAGGUGAAAGCAGGACGAGCUGCCCGUGCACAGUAACAAAGAAUCGCAAAGCAAGAAGCAAACACAAAUAAAGACAAAACCAACCCUAAAGGAAGGGUUUGCAUUUGCUCACUGCACUACUUGCAAGGCACCUUAUCAUUUGCGUGUUCAUGAUGCUGCCGUAGGAAAUGGCGUACCUUGAAAUUUCGGUUUUUUGUCACCAGAGACAUUUUGUUUAUAUUUCUGGCAGUUCAGCUUAUAGGUGAAUUGUUUCCAUCUUCGUAGCCAUGUUGAUGCCAUUUGUAAUAAUUUGUUAAUUGCUCAGAUGUUCUGAUUCUACAUGGCUGCCUGUGGCUCUGUAUUUCCUUUUUCUGCAGGUCAUUGCUUCGUUGGCAUAUUUGGUUUAUCUAAUAGAUGGUUACCAGCAGUACUGGCUUUGUCUUGUUUGGGGUUUUGAUAGUGAGCCAAGCUUUUACUACAUAUUUGGAGCCCUCUUGUUUUUUGUGUUGCUUGGCCUAUCAGGAUGCUUCAUUACUUGUUAUGAUCGAAGAGUUCGCAACGAUUUGGCACAGCUUUGUCGAGAAAUCUGUCUUUGUUGCUGUCAUCCUGGCUUGUAGCAACACGUUCUUCAUCAAGCAUUGGUAAGGGAAAAACCAUGAUGGCACAGUAAAGUAUGGUUUCAGCCUAGUGAAGGAGAGUGUUAAUCAUUUCUCACACAGAAGAGCAAAUAAGAGAGCUUCAGAGAAGAAACAACAAACAGCAGAGAAGAGGAGACGAAGAACAUAUUAGAACAAAUGAUGAAGAUGAAGAUGAAGACUUGGGAGUUAGGGUUUUAUAAUUGAGAAUGGACUAAUUUGAGGCUUUUAAACAAAAUUUAGACACUAAUUUGAGUUAAACGUUGCGAAUGACUUUUGGACUAAUGUGGAUUCACGUUUCUGAGAGUGGUGGAUCCAUUUGGUCAUUUUACAUGGUCGGAGACUUAAUUGAUGCGAGUUGGGAAUUUUAGGGACCAUUUGGAGCAUUAAUUCGAAUAGAAAAUUAAAAUACAUUGAAGUGUAAAUAAUGAUUGGUAGGUCCAGCUGAGAAAAGUGUUUUUGUUGUGUUCUGCACUUCUUUGUAUCUUAUAGUUGUGAUUGAGGUGAACUGGUAGUCUGGUAUGAAAUGU